ACACUGUAAAUGUUAGUCAUGGAGGAUGUGUACCAACAUGGAAGAGUGUUUACAAUGUAUCUUUAGAGAAAAGAUGGACUAUCCAAGUAUGCAUACUGGAAUUAUCAUUAGAUUACCAUACAUCUGGGUGAGGAGCAGAACAGAGACAUAAGUAACAGCAACCGUGAACCUCAGAGGCAGCCAAGGGCUGGAGUGCAAUGGCACCAUCGCGGCUCACUGCAACCUCCACCUCCUGGGUUCAAGCGAUUCUCCUGCCUCAGCCUCCCGAGUAGCUGGGAUUACAGGUGCCCACCACCACGCCCAGCUAAUUUGUGUAUUUUUAGUAGAGACGGGUUUCACCAUGCUGGCCUCGAACUCCUGACUUCAGGUGAUCCACCUGCCUCGGCCUCCCAAAGUGCCGGGAUUACAGGGGAAGCCAGCCACCAUGUCAUAAGGACAAAGCAGCCCUGAGGAGAACCAAUCCCUUGGGGAGGAACUCGGCCCCCAGUCAGCAGCCAAUACCAACUUGCCCAUGUGUGAGUUAGUCACCUUGAAAGUGGAUCUGCUGUCCCAGCCAAGCCUUCAGAUGAGACCACAGCUCUGGCCAACACCUGACUGCAGCCUCAUGAGAG
Molecule: long non-coding RNA, 611 nt
Filed under: Homo sapiens (human)
Lineage: Eukaryota; Metazoa; Chordata; Mammalia; Primates; Hominidae
Description: HSALNT0353705
Source: RNAcentral